Molecule: long non-coding RNA, 1267 nt
Organism: Panicum hallii
Lineage: Eukaryota; Viridiplantae; Streptophyta; Magnoliopsida; Poales; Poaceae
Exons: 3
Source: RefSeq, a predicted model, not a curated record
UCCGAGGUCGACGCGUUCCAGCGCCAGGUCGACGACCUCGUCUCCAAGACCGACGUGCUAGAGAGACGGGUGAACGAGGUGGUGGACUUCUACGAUGGCAAGAAGCACGGCAGCGGCGGGCGUAAGGGCGGCAGGCAUGGGGCAUACGGGAGGGGGAUGCCCGACCUUAUGCGCCAGUUGGGCGUGAUUUUACGAGAGAUCACCGAUGAUAAUGAUGCAUGGCCAUUUCGGGAGCCAGUGGAUGUUGUAGGACUGCACCUUCAUGACUAUUACAAGGUAGCGCGACUAAGCCUGAUAAUGCAUUUUUAUCCCUUAUUGCUGUAGUUAAUUCAUAUUGCGAUAGUAAUUUUGAUUACAAGGGGAUAUUGUUGUAGAUUAGUAAAAAUGUGAAUCUAUUGAUGUUAUGUAUUUAGUGUAAUCCUGGAUAUUCACCCGCAAUACAAAAUCUUAUAGAGGUAUACGGACUCGACCUUGAUUAGGGUCCACUUUGGCCAUCGUUUAUGUUCUACUGCAAGCACAAAUAUAUAUAAAUCUAUGCUGAACAGAUUGUAUCAGAUACGUAUCAGUAUUGUACACGUAUGCGAUACCGUUAUGCGCUGGAUAUUUGGCCGAUAAGUAUCCAUGGAGUAUCGAGACAAAUAAAUAUGAGAUAAUUCGAUAUGUGAGCCGAUAUGUACUGGUCACUUCGUGGCUAUGUCCCAGCUCACCUGAGCGAAUCGCUACCAGAGGGGGAGGGAGAAGAGAGAGGAUAAGCAGGAGAAACAGGCUAGGCUGCAUGCCUGCACCUGCCCUCACUGCUAUUCUUGCUGUGCUGGUCCGGCACCUGUGGCCAUAGCAGCUUUCUUCACCGGUUAAUUGCAGAGCUCGAUCUGGAGGGGGGGGGGGGGGGUUUGCUGGCACUCGAGCUGCAUACAAAUAGAGCUCGAUCUGGAAGGUCCUUUCUCCUGGGGGCGGCCAUAGUUGUUGCUGCUGCGUUGCUCCAUUGCGGGUGUAGUCGGGAAGGAACGAAGGAGGCGGCAUCCAGUAAGGAAUCUAUAGAUUAGGGUUUGAGGGGAGAGGGGAGGGGGUUGCUUUAUCGGCUUUUGGGUGGAUUGGGCUCUACUGAGUGGGAUGGCUGCUCAGAGUUAUUGUGGCCCAUUAGUGCUUGUAUUUUCCUCUUAUUCUCUAUUGUACAUAUUCUCUCCUACAUAUGUUUAUAUAUGCCUUAUUAUUUAUUUGUUGUAAAAUAAAACAUGUUUUGGUUUUUGGAAAACUGUGUAUCCAUGUA